This 420-nucleotide ribosomal RNA is filed under the name uncultured bacterium. Its description in RNAcentral is "partial 16S ribosomal RNA". It matches the Rfam family "Bacterial small subunit ribosomal RNA", at positions 362 to 774 of the family's 1533-position model. The record is from RNAcentral.
UUUUGGACAAUGGGGGAAACCCUGAUCCAGCAAUCCCGCGUGUAUGAUGAAGGCCNUCNNGUUGUNANGUACUUUUGGCAGAGNNNNNAAGGUACCUCCACAUACGAGGUACUACUGACGGUAUCUGCAUAAUAAGCACCGGCUAACUACGUGACAGCAGCCGCGGUAAUACGUAGGGUGCAAGCGUUAAUCGGAAUUACUGGGCGUAAAGCGUGUGUAGGCGGUUCGGAAAGAAAGAUGUGAAAUCCCAGGGCUCAACCUUGGAACUGCAUUUUUAACUGCCGAGCUAGAGUAUGUCAGAGGGGGGUAGAAUUCCACGUGUAGCAGUGAAAUGCGUAGAUAUGUGGAGGAAUACCGAUGGCGAAGGCAGCCCCCUGGGAUAAUACUGACGCUCAGACACGAAAGCGUGGGGAGCAAACA